This is a non-coding RNA of Gasterosteus aculeatus aculeatus (three-spined stickleback), 579 nucleotides long. NCBI's taxonomy places the organism in Eukaryota, Metazoa, Chordata, Actinopteri, Perciformes, Gasterosteidae. The record is from RefSeq and is a predicted model, not a curated record.
GGACAGACAGGUCAGUACGCCUCCUGUGGGACAGACAGGUCAGUACGCCUCCUGUGGGACAGACAGGUGGGACAGACAGGUCAGUACGCCUCCUGUGGGACAGACAGAUGAGACAGACAGGUCAGUAGGCCUCCUGUGGGACAGACAGGUGGGACAGACGGGUCAGUACGCCUCCUGUGGGACAGACAGGUGGGACAGACAGGUCAGUACGCCUCCUGUGGGACAGACAGGUGGGACAGACAGGUCAGUACGCCUCCUGUGGGACAGACAGGUGGGACAGACAGGUCAGUACGCCUCCUGUGGGACAGACAGGUGGGACAGACGGGUCAGUAGGCCUCCUGUGGGACAGACAGGUGGGACAGACGGGUCAGUACGCCUCCUGUGGGAAAGACAGGUGGGACAGACAGGUCAGUACGCCUCCUGUGGGACAGACAGGUCAGUACGCCUCCUGUGGGACAGACAGGUGAGACAGACAGGUCAGUACGCCUCCUGUGGGACAGACAGGUGGGACAGACGGGUCGUAGAUGUUGUGUAUUAGUUUGACGCUCAACAAAAACGUUGAUUAUUAACGGAUUAAAC